CCUACGGGUGGCAGCAGUCGAGAAUCAUUCACAAUGGGGGAAACCCUGAUGGUGCGACGCCGCGUGGGGGAAUGAAGGUCUUCGGAUUGUAAACCCCUGUCAUGUGGGAGCAAAUUAAAAAGAUAGUACCACAAGAGGAAGAGACGGCUAACUCUGUGCCAGCAGCCGCGGUAAUACAGAGGUCUCAAGCGUUGUUCGGAAUCACUGGGCGUAAAGCGUGCGUAGGCUGUUUCGUAAGUCGUGUGUGAAAGGCGCGGGCUCAACCCGCGGACGGCACCGGAUACUGCGAGACUAGAGUAAGGGAGGGGGAACCGGAAUUCUCGGUGUAGCAGUGAAAUGCGUAGAUAUCGAGAGGAACACUCGUGGCGAAGGCGGGUUCCUGGACAUUAACUGACGCUGAGGCACGAAGGCGAGGGGAGCGAAAGGGAUUAGAUACCCGUGUAGUC
This 446-nucleotide ribosomal RNA is filed under the name uncultured bacterium. Its description in RNAcentral is "partial 16S ribosomal RNA". It matches the Rfam family "Bacterial small subunit ribosomal RNA", at positions 338 to 795 of the family's 1533-position model. The record is from RNAcentral.